GAUAACGAAUUAUGGAAAUGGGGUGAGUACCUGCAAAAGCCACUUCGACACUCUCAAGUCAGUGUUUGUGCAGCAGACUGUUAGUGAUCAAUUGAAUUUCUCGUACCUUUGCUGGAGGUCUAGUCGGGUUUUUAUAGCCCUUCGAGUCCUUGGGUUUAAACCCACUUCCCUAGCUUUGCGCAUCCCAUCCUCCACUUCAUGGUAAUGGAGUUCAAAUGAUCGGGUUGUGUCUCCCUCGCUUUGCACUUCUCUAGUGGGAGGGAAGUUCGAUCAUCCCGCGUCUUUUAAUCAUAGCAUAUGGGGUUAAGUCAUGACACGUGAGAUUUGGUCCCCACAAUACUCCCCUUUUU
Molecule: long non-coding RNA, 350 nt
Filed under: Prunus persica (peach)
Lineage: Eukaryota; Viridiplantae; Streptophyta; Magnoliopsida; Rosales; Rosaceae
Description: long non-coding RNA (PPER_LNC006345)
Source: RNAcentral